GACGAACGCUGGCGGCGUGCCUAAUACAUGCAAGUUGAGCGCUGAAGGUUGGUACUUGUACCGACUGGAUGAGCAGCGAACGGGUGAGUAACGCGUGGGGAAUCUGCCUUUGAGCGGGGGACAACAUUUGGAAACGAAUGCUAAUACCGCAUAAAAACUUUAAACACAAGUUUUAAGUUUGAAAGAUGCAAUUGCAUCACUCAAAGAUGAUCCCGCGUUGUAUUAGCUAGUUGGUGAGGUAAAGGCUCACCAAGGCGAUGAUACAUAGCCGACCUGAGAGGGGGAUCGGCCACGUUGGGCAGGAGAAACGGCCCAAACCCCUACGGGAGGCAGCAGUGGGGAAUCUUCGGCAAUGGACGAAAGUCUGACCGAGCAACGCCGGGUGAGUGAAGAAGGUUUUCGGAUCGUAAAACUCUGUUGGUAGAGAAGAACGUUGGUGAGAGUGGAAAGCGCAUCAAGUGACGGUAACUACCCAGAAAGGGACGGCUAACUACGUG
RNAcentral lists this ribosomal RNA (497 nucleotides) under uncultured bacterium. Its description in RNAcentral is "partial 16S ribosomal RNA". It matches the Rfam family "Bacterial small subunit ribosomal RNA", at positions 28 to 507 of the family's 1533-position model. The record is from RNAcentral.